Molecule: ribosomal RNA, 506 nt
Filed under: uncultured fungus
Lineage: Eukaryota; Fungi
Description: eukaryotic LSU rRNA
Rfam family: 5.8S ribosomal RNA (bases 146-299)
Source: RNAcentral
GAGCGGAGGGAUCAUUAGCGAGUUUAAACUCCCAACCCUCGAGAACCCACCUAACGUUGCUUCGGCGGACUGCCCCGGGCUCCCGCCGAUGCGCACCCAAACCCUGUGUUAAAGUCGCAUUCUGAGUGGACUACAAAUAAGUCAAAACUUUCAGCAACGGAUCUCUUGGUUCUGGCAUCGAUGAAGAACGCAGCGAAAUGCGAUAAGUAAUGUGAAUUGCAGAAUUCAGUGAAUCAUCGAAUCUUUGAACGCACAUUGCGCCCGCUAGUAUUCUGGCGGGCAUGCCUGUUCGAGCGUCCUUUGGACCCUCGGGCCCCGUGGCUUGUCCACGCGCGGCCCGGUGUUGGGGACCCGCGGCUGCCGCGGCCCCCUAAAAUCAGUGGCGGACCCCUCAACGGCCCUGGCGCAGUAGCACAUCUCGCCUUCGGACGCUGAGACGGCCUUGCCUCCAGCACCUAAUUACAAAGCUGGACCUCGAAUCAGGUAGGAAUACCCGCUGAACUUAA